UCAUUUCAUCAAUAUGUACAUCACUUUGUAAAUAAUUAUGUAUUUGUAAUAUUGUUCUAUUUUUUCUUUUUUGUCCUUCCAAGCAAAGAAUCUAUUUUGUUUUUACUUUUCUCUUUUCCUUUGAGCCAAGAGAGAGUUCUACGGAACAAAAGGAAGAGUAAGUUUAAUGAAGGCUCAUCAAACUUUAUUUUAUAUAAUUACUUGCUUAUUAAACAAUAAAGCACAACUCUUUGUUCAUCCAUUUUUUAAUUUAUUAUCUGUUCAUCACUCUUUUGAUUUUCGUUAUACUUAAUUGAUAGGAUGUGCCAUGUGGCGAUUUAGAAAUUUGAUGUGGCAUGUACCAGCAUUUAAAUUAGGCCAACUGGGCCAAAAUCGCCCCCAAAUCCAUGAACCCUAAAAAGUAUCAGAUGGCGAAGAGCGUUCGAAACUAAAUGAAUGUGGUUGAAUUGGAAAAGCAAAUACAGGAUAUUGUGUUUUAUCAGUUUUGGCAUAACACUAUAAUUUCUUGCUUUGUGGAAUUUAUUUGAUCAUCAAACAUUCUGCUGCAAAUUCCUUGCAGUUGAUAACACUUAAUUUCUUGCUUUCAUGCUCUAACGACGGGAGCCUCCACUGCAAAUCCCUUGCAAUUAAUUCCAAGGAUGGACACUAAUUACAAGAGUUCCAUAUGUGCAUCAACCUUCACGAGAAGGUCAUCGUGGGCCAUGAGAGUUGGAAGGGAGUAGGAAGGCUUCCUUUCGGUGGUGCAAGGGCGAAGCAUCCGAACCAAAAUUUCAAUAGGAAUAGCUUACAAAUUUCAUAUUUAUAAUUUCAAUUUUGCUCUAAUUCUUCUUAUAAAUAGGGAGCUGUAAAUAAGGUUCAUCAUCAUCAACAUCAACGUCAACAUCAUCACCAUCAUCUAGAGAGAGAGAGAGAGAGAGAGAGAAUAGAGUGUACAAUUAUUCUUAUAAACUUUUUUCAUUAUAGUGAAUUACCGCAGCAAAUGACUUAUAGUGAAUUACCGCAGCAAAGGACAAUGACAGAAUCUCAUAUGGAUGCGAACAUGCAUCUAUCUUGCAUGUUCUUUGUGUCUUUAUUUCAUUACUGCAAUUUUAUUGUUAUUGAUAGAAUGUAAUAAAGUUUUCUAAUUCUCAAUG
Molecule: long non-coding RNA, 1133 nt
Organism: Olea europaea var. sylvestris
Lineage: Eukaryota; Viridiplantae; Streptophyta; Magnoliopsida; Lamiales; Oleaceae
Exons: 2
Source: RefSeq, a predicted model, not a curated record